RNAcentral lists this ribosomal RNA (474 nucleotides) under uncultured bacterium. RNAcentral's name for it is "bacterial SSU rRNA". It matches the Rfam family "Bacterial small subunit ribosomal RNA", at positions 8 to 527 of the family's 1533-position model. The record is from RNAcentral.
AGGGUUCGAUUAUGGCUCAGAACGUACGCUGGCGGCACGCCUAACACAUGCAAGUCGAACGAAGUAGCAAUACUUAGUGGCAGACGGGUGAGUAACAUGUAGGUAUCUGCCCUUUGGCCUGGAAUAACACGAGGAAACUUGUGCUAAUACCGGAUAAGUCUUUACAGAGAAAGCUUUAUGCACCAUUGGAUGAGCCUGCACUUGAUUAGUUUGUUGGUGGGGUAAUGGCCUACCAAGACUGUGAUCAAUAGCUGAUUUGAGAGGAUGAUCAGCCACAUUGGGACUGAGACACGGCCCAAACUCCUACGGGAGGCAGCAGUGGGGAAUCUUGCACAAUGGAGGAAACUCUGAUGCAGCGAUGCCGCGUGAGUGAAGAAGGCCUUUGGGUUGUAAAGCUCUUUCGUCGGGGAAGAAAAUGACUGUACCCGAAUAAGAAGGUCCGGCUAACUUCGUGCCAGCCGCCGCGGUAAUACA